Ictalurus punctatus (channel catfish) is the source of this 3219-nucleotide long non-coding RNA. The record is from Ensembl. NCBI's taxonomy places the organism in Eukaryota, Metazoa, Chordata, Actinopteri, Siluriformes, Ictaluridae.
CGCCUCCUCAACUCAGAAUUCCCACUCAUGAUCCCGUGACGGUCUCCUCCACGCCGAGUUCAGCGAGUUCAUCAGACCAACACGGCUGCUCACGGCAUCAACGAUAAACACAGUAACGCUUCUUACCUGUAAAUGAGUUAGUUAUGCUGCACACACACACACACACACACACACACACACGUAUUAUCUUUAGAUCAAUCAACAUACAGACAUGUUUACUUGCGACAUCUAUGACACCGACUGUACAGUUUUGUGGAGGUAAAUAUACACCACUCAUCACAGGUAGCUAGCUGGCUUGUUGCUUGUACAAAAGACGUACAUACUGUACAGGCGUCCAUGUUUUUUCCCCCCACUUUGAAAAUGAUGUCAUUCCGAGCUCCGAUUUCCCGAUAAAAAACACUCGCAUCACGGCUACGAAUAGAGUUUUACCCACGGCAAAAAAUAUCCUCAAUACCCCAAGCUCACUUUGAACAACAGACUUUCCCGUUUUUCCUCUUUUACCCAGGCAUGAACCGCUCCAAACUCCUCUUCUUCACCUUUUAAAAGCGCGUUUCCUCCAGACAUGACGCUGCUAAUAAUUAGGAGGUCGACCGAUAGUGGAUUUUACCGAUACCCAGAACCAAGUCGGGCGAUAUCUUCCGAUAACCGACUAAUCGACCGAUGUUUCGAACUGAUACUGAAUGAAAACAUAAAACACGCAGAGUCAAAUAAUCCUGAACUUUAUUACAAAAAUAAAACAGUACUGAUUGUACCAAUGUACUGUACUUUUUAAAAUGAAAUAAAUAUAUCAAUUAACAUAUAUUAUUUGUAAAUAAAGUAAAUAAAAAGAUACACGUCCAAACUGAACCAAAAACUAACCGUCCAAAUAACCAAUAAAAAUACAGACAUCCAAGAUGAAUCAAAAAACACUUCAAAUAACACAACAAAAUUAGUCAGCGAUAGUUUGCUAUUUCACCUCUAGAGGCCGCUCUCGUACCGUAUAAUGACGGCGGACCCUCCUCGGCCGCUCCCCUGCAGCCGGGAAAAACUAUCGCUGCGGAUAGUUUCAGCUCCGGCUAUCUGUUAUCGGUGCAAAACCGAUCGAUUGGUCGACCUCUACGAAUAAUACAUCGAGGGCUUGUUUCUGCGUCUCGCCCGUUCUCUUCACGAGCCGCGAUCCCGCUGGUUGAUGACGGAAACAGAACACGGUCAGCAUCUUUAAUCACAGGUCUACCGUCAGAGGAUCUUCACCAUACAGUCUGCCAUGGGUUAAAGGACUAUCACGCGGUCUGUUAUACAAUUCUAAAUAAAAAGAUAUCAUUCCGAUCACGCUGUACAGUGGGAAAAGUAUUCAAUUUAAAAGACGGCAGUAAUCGGAAACGUGUAAAACCCGCCGUAGCACGGCGUACACCACUCCGUGUGUUGCACAGUCUUCUUUAUGAUAGCUUAGCUUAAUUCAUUUCUGGUUUCCAUCCAUCCGUUCUCUGUAACGCUUAUCCUACACAGGGUCACGGGAAGCCUGGAGCCUAUCCCAGGGAACUCGGGGCACAACACACGCCUCCGGACUGGCGGAGAAAACCGGAGCACACAGAGGAAACCCCCGAAACACAGGGAGAACACGUGAAACUCCGUGCACACGGGGCGGAGGUGGGAUACGGACCCCCAACCCCGAAGGUCCGAACGAUACGUUUGAUAUGCUUCCUAUGUUUUGUUGUGAAUAACAUAAUGGUUUAUGAGAUACGCAAAUCAUUGCAUUCCGUUUCUAUUUACAUAGCGUCCCAACCUUUUUGCAAUCGGGGUUUAAUAUCCGGUGCCAUCGUACCUGAAAGUAGUACAGCCAAAGACCCGGCCCCACAUUUCCUGUACGACUUCACGCACAUCAUAACAGAGAAGCCUUUUCCCUUCAAUUGUCUCUGAGCCAGAUACAGAAUUAAAAAAAAAAAAAAGUACACACAUAAUACAUACUAUUGCAAUUCAUAACAAUUUGUAAAUAAAUAAAUAAAUAAUAUAAUAUACAGUACACAACAUGUCAAAUUAGUGGAUAGUUAGCAGGUUCACGGUGAUGAGGCUAAAUUUAUACAGGUCACACACAGUGUUACUGCAGGUCAAGAAACUCCGGGGUAAUCACCUCCUUGUGAAACAAUCCGUCCUUCAGAACCGGUUUCAUUCGCUGACGAUAAACAGGUUCAGUGACGUUAAACAAGUUCGGGUUGAUUGCAUGUUAUAUAACCACACACACACACACACACACACACACACAAUAUCUUUCUGCAUGUCUGAGUACUGAGCUCCGACCUUAGCCUAACACUGGAGGUCAAAGGUUAAAGGCUGAAGCUUUGCAAAGCAGGACCUGCGAAACAACCUGUGGGCAAGAUGUGAUCUCCUGUUAACUUGGUCCUCUCUGCCCUGAUUUCCACUCCGUCCCUCUACAGCGUGUCUGAAAUUGACCCGUUGUUGCACACAUGGUGACGGUUCACUCUACUCCAUGACCCUGCACUGCAAACAGAACACACGGUCGAUUGAGGACACGGACUCAGAUUUGCCUCUCAGGCAAAACCACCAAAUAUGACAUGAGAACGGGUGAUAAAUUCCUCUCGUAAACAAGUGGGUAAAGGUGAUAUUAAAAUGCCUUGAUGAAUGAAGGAGCAAAAUAUGUUCUGUAUGUCUAUUCUAUGUACUUUCUACCAUAUUAUUUAGCUCUGGGACUAAUACUAAUACUACUACUACUACUACUACUAAUAAUAAUAAUAAUAAUAAUAAUAAUAAUAAUAAUAAUUCACAGUCAGAGCUGUCCGGUUCAAACGCUCAGAUGCAGCCAGUGUCAUGGUUCAUGAAAGUAGUACAGCCAAAGACUCUGCCCCAAAUUUCCAGUAUAACUCAGUCUUUUAUUUCUAUUUUUUUAAACUUUCAAUUGUCUCUCAGUCAGAUAAUCAGCCCUGAUCUUUCAAAUUAAACACGGUUACACCGAGAGGUUCUGCUCUUUCACUGAUGCCUACAAUCUUUAUUCUCAGAACAUUUCUGUGUGACCAUACUAUUCUACACUAUAUAGUGAAAAACCAGUGGACACCUGAACACACCCACACCCAAAUGCGCUUCUUCUUCAAACCAGACGCACACAACACAACACAACAGCAGGAGGCGCUUAAACACGACAUCAGCAUGGAGGCGCUUAAACACGACAUCGGCAUGGAACGCUUAAACACGACAUCGGCAUGGAACGCUUAAACACGACAUCGGCAU